Molecule: long non-coding RNA, 506 nt
Organism: Mauremys reevesii (Reeves's turtle)
Lineage: Eukaryota; Metazoa; Chordata; Testudines; Geoemydidae
Exons: 2
Source: RefSeq, a predicted model, not a curated record
AUGCUCUCACUGCUGAGGAGACCACCAUAUUUUUUGCCUGAAUCAUUUCAAGAUAUCCUGAAGAUAUCAGUCAAGUUUUCUGAUUAAACUAUGGAUAUUGACAUGGUCACUCGGCAUCAUCAGUUCCUGUUGACUUCAAACAGGGAAGAGGAUAUUCAUCACAGAACCUGAGGUCCCAAUCCUGCGAAGUUUCCUGCAUGUUCUUAACUUUAACACUGACUUCAAGUGUCUGCAGCAUUGAGGACCUGUUCAAAGCCGAUUGAAGUCAGUAGAGAAGCUCUCAUUCACUUUUAGGGGAACAGGUCCUAUGUUUGUAAUGCUAGAGAUAACUGUAUUUACUGUUAGUUGCAAUGCUUUGUCUAAACUGCUGCUGCUUCCUGAUUCCAGGCCUAUAUUUCAAUUCCCAACUUCUUGUAAGUUAUUAUCAAAUGCUUCUUUUUUUAAAAACUUGUUUUUGUUAUCAAUAAAUGAUCUAUUCCCUUACAGAAAAUAAAUUGCUUCCAAAU